Molecule: long non-coding RNA, 486 nt
Organism: Rhinopithecus roxellana (golden snub-nosed monkey)
Lineage: Eukaryota; Metazoa; Chordata; Mammalia; Primates; Cercopithecidae
Exons: 3
Source: RefSeq, a predicted model, not a curated record
UGACUUUGGACAACAUACUUAAUCUCCCUGAGCCUGGGACUCUUCUAGGUCUUGAAAACAGGGGCACUGACACCCACCUCCCAGUGCUGCUAUGAAGACCACACAAGAUACCUGGAUACAGACUCAGCCCACCUGCACCCAGGUGAAAUAAACAGCCAUGUUGCUCACACAAAGCCUGUUUGGUGGUCUCUUCACCUGGAUGCGUGAGACAUUUGGUGCCGAAGACCUGGGUCGGCGGGACUCCUUCAGGACACCAGUCCCCUGUCCUCACCCUCACUCCAUGAAGAGAUCCACCUAUAACCUCGGGUCCUCAGACCAGCCAGCUCAAGGAACAUCUCACUGAUGUUAUAUCAGAAGAUGGAAACGUCAGGCCUCUGGGCCCAAGCUAAGCCAUCAUAUCCCUGUGACCUGCACGUAUACAUCCAGAUGGCCUGAAGCAUCUGAAGAUCCACAAAAGAGUGAAAAUAGCCUUAACUGAUGACAUUC